GAUGAACGUUGGCGGUGUGCCUAAUACAUGCAAGUCGAACGGAGACUGUAGCAAUACUGUCUUAGUGGCGAACGGGUGAGUAACGCGUUGGUGAUCUGCCUCGAAGUGUGGAAUAACCUCCCGAAAGGGAAGCUAAUACCGCAUAGUCUCUCAAGGUUUAGAAAAUUGAGAGUAAAGGAUUUAUUCGCUUCGAGAGGAGCCUGCGUCCCAUCAGCUAGUUGGUAGGGUAACGGCCUACCAAGGCAAUGACGGGUAGGGGACCUGAGAGGGUGGCCCCCACAAUGGAACUGAAACACGGUCCAUACACCUACGGGUGGCAGCAGUAGGGAAUAUUAGAAAUGGGCGGAAGCCUGAUCUAGCAACACCGCGUGUGCGAUGAAGGCCUUGGGUCGUAAAGCACUUUUUGGAGGGAAUAGGAAGGAAGGUACCUCCAGAAUAAGUCUCGGCUAACUACGUGCCAGCAGCCGCGGUAAACGUAGCGUG
This 483-nucleotide ribosomal RNA is filed under the name uncultured bacterium. RNAcentral's name for it is "bacterial SSU rRNA". It matches the Rfam family "Bacterial small subunit ribosomal RNA", at positions 28 to 533 of the family's 1533-position model. The record is from RNAcentral.